RNAcentral lists this ribosomal RNA (373 nucleotides) under uncultured organism. RNAcentral's name for it is "partial 16S ribosomal RNA". It matches the Rfam family "Bacterial small subunit ribosomal RNA", at positions 527 to 896 of the family's 1533-position model. The record is from RNAcentral.
GUAGGUGGCAAGCGUUGUCCGGAAUUAUUGGGGCGUAAAGCGCGCGCAGGCGGUUCUUUAAGUCUGAUGUGAAAGCCCACGGGCUCAACCGUGGAGAGUCAUUGGAAACUGGAGAACUUGAGUACAGAAGAGGAAAGCGGAAUUCCACGUGUAGCGGUGAAAUGCGUAGAGAUGUGGAGGAACACCAGUGGCGAAGGCGGCUUUCUGGUCUGUAACUGACGCUGAGGCGCGAAAGCGUGGGGAGCAAACAGGAUUAGAUACCCUGGUAGUCCACGCCGUAAACGAUGAGUGCUAAGUGUUAGGGGGUUUCCGCCCCUUAGUGCUGCAGCUAACGCAUUAAGCACUCCGCCUGGGUAGUACGGCCGCAAGGCUG